GUCAAAACAAAGAUAAUAAUGCCAGGGUGACAAGGUGGUUCCUCAGUUUACAACCAUUUCAUUUUACAGUUGAACAUAGGCCAGGGUCUAAACAUGGAAAUGCUGACAGUUUGUCGCGAGAAAAUUUGUUUUCUGUGGUCGCUCACCCCACUAGGUCUGAGCUGGGGGGGAGGAUAUGUAACAGAGUGUUGGGGAUGGUGGUCAGGGGUGUAUAUCUGGCACCCAGACUUUUGCACAGCCACUAUCCUGACAUGUGGGUAAGCACAUGCAGCCCCAGGGAAAGUUAAGUUUAAAUGUAGUUUUUUUUUCCUCUGUUAUUUGGGUCCCUGGGGUGGAGUAUUCGGAAGAGCAGG
Non-coding RNA from Pelobates cultripes (western spadefoot toad), 353 nucleotides. NCBI's taxonomy places the organism in Eukaryota, Metazoa, Chordata, Amphibia, Anura, Pelobatidae. The record is from the annotation of a GenBank genome assembly.